RNAcentral lists this long non-coding RNA (241 nucleotides) under Phoenix dactylifera (date palm). RNAcentral's name for it is "long non-coding RNA (PDAC_LNC017660)". The record is from RNAcentral. Lineage: Eukaryota; Viridiplantae; Streptophyta; Magnoliopsida; Arecales; Arecaceae.
AGAUGUUAGGAACCAAGAGGCCGAAUAUGUCGAAGAAGUCUAUGAACCAAAUAUAGAAGACUAUGAAGAAGACUUUGAAGACGAACCUACAGAAUUAGACUUUGUCCAAAAUGAUUCCCAAAGGGAGACUAUUGAUCUAAGUACAACCAAGCCACUUCACAUCACUACUGUGGAAGAGGUAGUGACAGAUAUUGAGAGCCAGACACCUGAAUUGGCACUUGUAGCUAAAGAUACCCGUGUG